GAUGAACGCUAGCUACAGGCUUAACACAUGCAAGUCGCGGGACCGGCGCACGGGGGAGUAACGCGUAUCCAACCUGCCCCUCACCACGGGAUAACCCGGCGACAGUCGGACUAAUACCGUAUGGUGAAGGAUGGGGGUGCGUCCGAUUCGCUUGACGGGGGGGUACCGGCCCGACGUGGCUACGGUCGGGAGGGGUUCUGAGUGGAAGGUCCCCCACACUGGAACGGAGACACGGUCCAGACUCGUACGGGAGGAAGGAGUGAGGAAUAUUGGUCAAUGGGCGUAAGCCUGAACCAGCCAAGUAGCGUGCAGGACGACGGCCUAUGGGUUGUAAACUGCUUUUAUGCGGGGAUAGGUACCGCAUGAAUAAGGACCGGCUAAUUCCGUGCCAGCAGCCGCGGUAAUUC
This 407-nucleotide ribosomal RNA is filed under the name uncultured bacterium. RNAcentral describes it as "partial 16S ribosomal RNA". It matches the Rfam family "Bacterial small subunit ribosomal RNA", at positions 28 to 526 of the family's 1533-position model. The record is from RNAcentral.